This 714-nucleotide ribosomal RNA is filed under the name Isoptericola sp. RNAcentral describes it as "bacterial SSU rRNA". It matches the Rfam family "Bacterial small subunit ribosomal RNA", at positions 60 to 788 of the family's 1533-position model. Lineage: Bacteria; Bacillati; Actinomycetota; Actinomycetes; Micrococcales; Promicromonosporaceae. The record is from RNAcentral.
AGUCGAACGGUGAAGCCCAGCUUGCUGGGUGGAUCAGUGGCGAACGGGUGAGUAACACGUGAGCAACCUGCCCUCCACUUCGGGAUAAGCCUUGGAAACGGGGUCUAAUACCGGAUAUGAGCCUGCAUCGCAUGGUGUGGGUUGGAAAGUUUUUCGGUGGGGGAUGGGCUCGCGGCCUAUCAGCUUGUUGGUGGGGUGAUGGCCUACCAAGGCGUCGACGGGUAGCCGGCCUGAGAGGGCGACCGGCCACACUGGGACUGAGACACGGCCCAGACUCCUACGGGAGGCAGCAGUGGGGAAUAUUGCACAAUGGGCGAAAGCCUGAUGCAGCGACGCCGCGUGAGGGAUGACGGCCUUCGGGUUGUAAACCUCUUUCAGCAGGGAAGAAGCGCAAGUGACGGUACCUGCAGAAGAAGCGCCGGCUAACUACGUGCCAGCAGCCGCGGUAAUACGUAGGGCGCAAGCGUUGUCCGGAAUUAUUGGGCGUAAAGAGCUCGUAGGCGGUCUGUCGCGUCUGGUGUGAAAUCCCGAGGCUCAACCUCGGGCUUGCAUCGGGUACGGGCAGACUAGAGUGCGGUAGGGGAGACUGGAAUUCCUGGUGUAGCGGUGGAAUGCGCAGAUAUCAGGAGGAACACCGAUGGCGAAGGCAGGUCUCUGGGCCGCAACUGACGCUGAGGAGCGAAAGCAUGGGGAGCGAACAGGAUUAGAUACCCU